This 1650-nucleotide long non-coding RNA is filed under the name Salmo salar (Atlantic salmon). RNAcentral describes it as "lncRNA (ENSSSAG00000103328.1, ENSSSAG00000114325.1)". The record is from RNAcentral. Lineage: Eukaryota; Metazoa; Chordata; Actinopteri; Salmoniformes; Salmonidae.
GCUGAUAGUUGUCACCCGCUUCCCUUGAAAAACAGUUUGCCCUACAGCCAAAUCUGUCAAUAUCAAAAGAAUAUGCAAAAAAAACAAUCAGACUUGACAGAAAUAUGGCUGAGACUCAAAGAAAAUUCAAGGAGAGGGGGUGGGGGGUACAAAAAGGGUCAGAUUAAUACAGCCGUUGAGAAAAUUCAAAACAAACCGAGACAUGAUCUUUUUCAAGGUCAGUCUCGCAAAAUGAGCAUUCUUGCGUUCUAACUACCCGCUAUUCAAAGUGCUCUGAACAUAUUAAGGGAAUCGUUCACAAACAUCGGCACAUUCUAAGAUCCGAUGACAGUAUCGGUAAUGUGUUUUCAGCCCUUCCCUUGGUUGUAUUCUCGCGGUGCAGAAAACUCAGAGAUCAAUUGGUCAACUCUGAUUUUACCACCCAAGAUAUUCCUGCACAACGCCUAUUUGCGCCUCUACUGGAUGGAAACUACAAGUGUAAUGGCUGUGCUCAAUGCAAUGGCACUUAUAAAUGUAGAUCCUUCAAACACCCCCAAACAGGGAAAUCGAUCCCAAUCAAAGGUGUUAUUACGUGUUCCACUAAGGCAGUUAUUUAUCUUAGAACUUGUCCUUGUGGUAAAAUGAUGUGGCUAAAACAAAGCGCGAAUUAAAAGUACGAAUCUCCGAGAAUCGUAGCACCAUCAGGUGCAAAAACUCGAUUUAUCCAGUUGCGGCCCACUUUUUGGAAGCAAAUCACUCGAUUUCAUCUCUACGUUAUAUUGGCAUCGAACAUGUCACCCUCCCGAGGAGAGGGAGUGACCUCGACAAUUUAUUGUUAAAACGAGAGGCUGCCUGGAUCUUUAAUUUAAAGACCUUUGCUCCCUUUUGGUCUCACCGUAGACGUUGAUCUGAAGCCAUUCUUGUGAUUUUGCUACUCAUUGUAAACGUUUUUAGGCCUAUGUAGCCAAAUUGUAUCUAUGAUCGUAUGCUAUCCAUUCAUGUUUUUGGAAUGUUAUUUUAUAUCUGAGAAUUAACCAAUGAUAUCGGGCCACACCCGGCCAUGGUUACAGUCACCUGUGUGUGUCUAUUGACACUAUAUAAACUAGCCACCCUGCAUUGUUUGUUAUUAUACCCUGAUGAAGACAGCUUGUAUGUCGAAACGUUGGUUAUUAAAUUAUUGCGUCUCUCUGUGCGGCUCUAAUUUUUCAAGUGUUCUCCUCCGCUAGCCAGCACCUCGCCUAAAUUGGUGUCCUACUCUGCUAGCCAGCACCUCUCCUAAAUAGGUGUUCUACUCUGCUAGCCAGCACCUCUCCUAAAUAGGUGUUCUACUCUGCUAGCCAGCACCUCUCCUAAAUUGGUGUUCUACUCUGCUAGCCAGCACCUCUCAUAAACAGGAGUUCUACUCCGCUAGCCAGCACCUCUCCUAAACAGGUGUUCUACUCUGCUAGCCAGCACCUCUCCUAAACAGGUGUUCUACUCUGCUAGCCAGCACCUCUCCUAAACAGGUGUUCUACUCUGCUAGCCAGCACCUCUCCUAAACAGGUGUUCUACUCCGCUAGCCAGCCCCUCUCCUAAACAGGUGUUCUACUCUGCUAGCCAGCACCUCUCCUAAACAGGUGUUCUACUCCGCUAGCCAGCACCUCUCCUAAACAGGUGUUCUACUCUGCUAGC